UUGGGACAGGGCGUCAUAGAGGGUGAGAACCCCGUAUGACUUUUCUCGCAACCUAUGUGAAUGGCCUUCUAAGAGUCGAGUUGUUUGGGAAUGCAGCUCUAAUUGGGUGGUAAAUUCCAUCUAAAGCUAAAUACUGGCAAGAGGCCGAUAGCGCACAAGUAGAGUGAUCGAAAGGUGAAAAGCACUCCGGAAGGAGAGUUAAACAGCACGUGAAAUUGUUGAAAGGGAAGCACUUGAGAGCAGUACUGGGACUUUGUUCAUCAACCUUCAUUUUUGUUGGUGCACUGGGCUUUGUUCUGGCCAGCAUCAUUUUUGACAGUGGUAUAAUGGCUUAGGAAAUGUGGCUUUCUUCGGAAAGUGUUAUAGACCUAGGUCGAUACCAUUAGUUGGGAAUGAGGUCCGCGCUUCGGCUAGGAUGCUGGCAUAAUGAUCUUAAGUGACCCGUCUUGAAACACGGACCAAGGAGUCUAACAUCUAUGCGAGUGUUAGGGUGUUAAACCCUUACGCAAAAUUAACGUGAACGGAGGUGAGAGCCGCUUGACGGUGCAUCAUCGACCGAUCCUGAUGUCUUCGGAUGGAUUUGAGUAAGAGCAUAGCUGUUGGGA
RNAcentral lists this ribosomal RNA (605 nucleotides) under uncultured fungus. RNAcentral describes it as "eukaryotic LSU rRNA". It matches the Rfam family "Eukaryotic large subunit ribosomal RNA", at positions 190 to 814 of the family's 3401-position model. Lineage: Eukaryota; Fungi. The record is from RNAcentral.